This 22-nucleotide ribosomal RNA is filed under the name Ficus drupacea. RNAcentral describes it as "partial 28S ribosomal RNA". Lineage: Eukaryota; Viridiplantae; Streptophyta; Magnoliopsida; Rosales; Moraceae. The record is from RNAcentral. RNAcentral also lists the same sequence under 3 other names.
CAACGCGACCCCAGGUCAGGCG